GCCUGACUGGCUCAGUCGGUAGAGCAUGUGACUCUUGAUCUUGGGGUCAUGAGUUCAAGCCCCAUGUUGCA
RNAcentral lists this transfer RNA (71 nucleotides) under Felis catus (domestic cat). It matches the Rfam family "tRNA". Rfam says of the family: Transfer RNA (tRNA) molecules are approximately 80 nucleotides in length. Their secondary structure includes four short double-helical elements and three loops (D, anti-codon, and T loops). The record is from Rfam by way of RNAcentral. Lineage: Eukaryota; Metazoa; Chordata; Mammalia; Carnivora; Felidae. RNAcentral also lists the same sequence under 1 other name.